CCUACGGGAGGCAGCAGUGAGGAAUAUUGGUCAAUGGCCGGAAGGCUGAACCAGCCAUGCCGCGUGAAGGUCAGUGCCCUAUGGGCGUUAAACUUCUUUUGUGCGGGAGCAAUAAUGGUCACGUGUGGCCAGACGAGAGUACCGUACGAAUAAGCAUCGGCUAACUCCGUGCCAGCAGCCGCGGUAAUACGGGGGAUGCAAGCGUUAUCCGGAUUUAUUGGGUUUAAAGGGUGCGUAGGCUGUGAGGUAAGUCAGCGGUGAAAUGCCUCCGCUCAAAGGGGUGAAGUGCCAUUGAUACUGCCUGGCUGGAAUGCGGAUGCCGUGGGAGGAAUGUGUGGUGUAGCGGUGAAAUGCAUAGAUAUCACACAGAACACCGAUUGCGAAGGCAUCUCACGAAUCCGCGAUUGACGCUGAUGCACGAAAGCGUGGGUAUCAAACAGGAUUAGAUACCCCUGUAGUC
RNAcentral lists this ribosomal RNA (460 nucleotides) under uncultured bacterium. RNAcentral's name for it is "partial 16S ribosomal RNA". It matches the Rfam family "Bacterial small subunit ribosomal RNA", at positions 338 to 795 of the family's 1533-position model. The record is from RNAcentral.